Molecule: non-coding RNA, 248 nt
Filed under: Canis lupus dingo (dingo)
Lineage: Eukaryota; Metazoa; Chordata; Mammalia; Carnivora; Canidae
Description: Eukaryotic small subunit ribosomal RNA
Rfam family: Eukaryotic small subunit ribosomal RNA
Source: Rfam by way of RNAcentral
UACUGCUUCCAGUUUCUUAUUAUCAUACAACCAAGUCAGAAAGGAAGAAGGGAGAAGAGGGUGGUGUUGCAUCACUGUUAGCUGGUGGAGCAAUUUGGUUAAUUUCAAUAAAGAAUGAAACUCUGGCAUGCUAACUAGUUAUGCAACCCAAGAGCAGUUUGCGUCCUCCAACUUUUUAAAGGGACAAGUGGCAUUCAGCCACCCGAGAUUGAGCAAUAUCAGGUCUGUGAUGCCCUCAGAUGUCCCAG